AACGCACAUUGCGCCCUGUGGUAUUCCGCAGGGCAUGCCUGUUCGAGCGUCAGUACAACACUCAAGCUCAGCUUGGUCUUGAACCCAGCGGGUCACUCCGCGGGUUUUAAAAUCAGUGGCGGUGCUAUCAGGCUCUAAGCGUAGUAAUACUCCUCGCUUUUGGGCCCUGAUAGACGCUGGCCAGCAACCCCAACUUCUAAGUUUGACCUCGGAUCAGGUAGGGAUACCCGCUGAACUUAA
This 240-nucleotide unclassified non-coding RNA is filed under the name uncultured Ascomycota. Its description in RNAcentral is "sequence contains ITS2". The stretch from base 1 to 52 matches the Rfam family "5.8S ribosomal RNA", at positions 103 to 154 of the family's 154-position model. The record is from RNAcentral. Lineage: Eukaryota; Fungi; Ascomycota.